AGCUCAUACUGUUCUCUUCCACAGGUCCUGCGUUGUAUCUUCCCAAGUGGCGUGGAUGUGAGGAGACACGACAUUUCACCUGAUGUUCCAUGGGAGACCCUACUGGUGAUGUGGACCUGACCCUCCGCCAUGUAGCAGACAACCCCCUCAGGUCCUGCGUUGUAUCUUCCCAAGUGGCGUGGAUGUGAGGAGACACGACAUUUCACCUGAUGUUCCAUGGGAGACCCUACUGGUGAUGUGGACCUGACCCUCCGCCAUGUAGCAGACAACCCCCUCAGGUCCUGCGGUGUAUCUUCCCAAGUGGCGUGGAUGUGAAGAGACAGAUCCCCUGAUGUUCCCUGGGCAAUCUACUUACAUACAAUUCAACUGCAUUACAAAUUUUAAUAAAAACCACAGGAAACUUCUAUUUUUAAAAGUUUAUU
Long non-coding RNA from Pseudophryne corroboree (corroboree frog), 422 nucleotides. RefSeq lists it as uncharacterized. The transcript has 3 exons. Lineage: Eukaryota; Metazoa; Chordata; Amphibia; Anura; Myobatrachidae. The record is from RefSeq and is a predicted model, not a curated record.